Bos taurus (domestic cattle) is the source of this 3386-nucleotide long non-coding RNA. Lineage: Eukaryota; Metazoa; Chordata; Mammalia; Artiodactyla; Bovidae. The record is from Ensembl.
AGAGGCAUUGAGGCAGCGAGCGCAGAGACGGCUUUAGGGAUAAGUUUUUCUAUUAAAAAAGAUAGGCAUUAGUGUAUUUCUUUAGGGAUUAUAAGUAGUGAGAAUACGGAGAUACUGCUUUGCAUUAAGUUCUUAGAUAAAUUUUAGGGAAAAUAUGAAGACUUAAAGAGUAGUUGGAGAAAGGAAGAGGGAAGAAAAAAGAUAAUUUUAGAACCUGAUGGAGGUUAAGAGCUGAAAUUUUUUCAUGGAGUGAAAAAUUUAAGAGAAUUGAUGAGCUAGGACUGCAAAGUCUGGAUUUUUUUUUUUUAAAGCCUUAACUUGAAGGGCAACCUUUUACCUUAACAUUAAAACGUUGGGUUACGUAAAUCGAACCUAAACGUUUUAAAAGGUUGAGUUGUAGAUGAUUAAAAUACUAUAAAGGCCAUCUUAAGAUUUAACUGAAGGUGGUUUCAGAAAUAAUGCCUUCAAAUUCACGGCACAGUAAAAAUGGCGUCAUUUGAAGCCUGCUUGAUAUUAAGGCUUUGUUUGGCUGAAGUUGACGGAAAUAUUAGGAAUGGUAGGAAAGAAAAUUGGAAGUUUGAAGUGGAAAAUUCGGAAGACAGAAGUACAGGAAGGUGAAGAAAAAACUAGAGAAGAUAGAGACACACGUUUUAGAAGACAAAAAACCUGAGCCUAGUAAGUAGGCAGAAAAAAAGACAAAUCUAGGAGAAAAUUGAAAAUACGGGCGAGUGCUUAAGAUAGAAUGAAAAGAAAGCUAUUGGACGCAAACAUACAAGAUAGACGUCUAAAAAUUUAGAUAGUUCAAAAUCAAUAAUGUUGGAUAAAUUACAGGAACAAAAACUAAGGAAAUUUUUAUAGCCAAUAAGAAUUUAUUGUAAAAGCCCAUCAACUUAUUUCUGGUGGUGCAAAAGUUAGAUCUCAGAAGAUGAGGGUUUUUUUAAAACUGCUGUAGACCAGGACCAACUUAGAAGAAAAUCCGGAAACUAGGAGAGUCAGUUUAAAAUCUCAGCAAAAAGUUACUGAAGGGGACUGAAGUAACUUAAAAGUUAAGAAUGUAUUUGGAAGAGUUAAAAAUCUGAAAGGCCUUAAAUGCGGUAGCGUAGUUUCCUUUGGAAAAUGUAAAGGACUUUAUAAGUGAAUUAAAUUGAAGAGCAAGAAUAACCAUCGAGUUAUUGGACUUUGAGCUAAGAUGAAUGUUUAAAUCCUGAGGACUAGGCGCUAAAUAACAGCUGACGCAGGUGCUACGCAGAAGUGGAUUCAGUGAAGCUAGGAAGACAGGAGCGGCAGACAGGAUUCGGAGUCAGUGUUGGUGAAAACUAGGACUGAGGAGCCAGCGGCAGUUCGUGAAGAUAGGAAAGAGAAGCCCGGGAGCCAGUGCGACUUGGUGAAGGAAGCUAGGAAGAAGGAGCGAGUCCUAACGAUUUGGAGGUGAAGCUAGGAGAGGAUUCCAGGAAGGAGGAAGCCAGUGCGGUGUGGUGAAGCUAGCGUGCGGCUUGGCUUGGCAACCACGCGGAGGCGGCGAGCAGGCAGAGUGGAGGAUAGAUAGAGGAUCCUAGAGCAGCAGCCCAGUGUACGAGCCCUGCAGGGAGAGCCAGUGGUGUGGUAAAAAUCCGUGAAGUCGGCACUAUCGUGGGUUUUUUUUCUCCUGUAACUCAGUAUGGUAAUAUCUCUUAUUAAAUUUUCCUAAUAGUAAUGGGGGAGUUGUGUACUUAAGCAUAAAGGGGAUUUUAUUACGGGGAUGUAGGCCGGUUUUCGGGUGUCGUAGGUUUCUCUUUUUCAGGCCUAUUUUCUCAUGCAUCUUGUCUGGAGCUUUUGAGGGCAGACUUCAAGGCCCGGAGGAAUGGUAGAUGGCAAGUGUUCUUGUUUUUAACCAAUAUGAGGGAUAUCCUGAAUCUGGUAGAACAACUGUGAGACAACUUCAGCAAGCUUUGUAAACAGGUUUUAUAUUCAGUUUGGGGGUAAUGAAGCAUUUCAGUUUUGUGAGUAGAGGGCCUACCUUUAUUUUCUCACCCUGUAUUUUAAAAGUCUUCUAAAUAUGUAGUUUCGGUGUAUAAUUCUGGGCGGGGGGAGUUUUUUUUUGGGGGGGAGCAAAAUAUGUUUUGAGUUCUUUUCCCUUUAGGUCUGCCUAGAAUUCCAAAGGCAAAUGACUCGAGGUAACAGGCGAAAAGAAAAUCCAAUAUCAGGAUAAUCAGAACACUGCAGGUUUACAGUUAUAGAAACUCUAGCACAAGCAGCUUUCACUUUGAGGUCUGUGGCGCAGCUGUCCAUUGGAGUAAUGGCUGGUAGUUUAUUCUUUUUUUCCCCACCCCUUUAUUAAAUAUUUUUAUAAAGUACGUAACUGGUUAUUUUUACUUAAAUAUUUUGGGGGUGGUGUGAACAGGGAAGAGGGUGGGGGAGAAACUUUUUUUUUCUAAGAUUUUCCACAGAUUCUAUAGUACUAUUGACAAACUGAGUUAGAGAAGGAUUGUACUGCUACGCUGUUUGGCACCAACACCUUCAGGGAUUGGAGCAGCUUUUUUCCUUGGAAGAGUAUUCCCAGUGAAGCUGAAAUGUACAGCCCAGUGCAGCUUUGGUUCAUAUUCAGUCAUCUCAGGAGAACUUCAGAAGAGCUUGACUAGGCCAAAUGUUGAAGUUAAGUUUUCAAAUAACGACUUUUAAGAUACCUUUAUUAAAGGGGAGGGGCAAAUUUUGGCGAUUUAUAGUUGGCAGUGGCUUGUGAUGAUUGGGAUGGGGGGGCGUGGGUUUAGGUAAUUGUUUAGUUUUUGAUUACAGAUAAACUCAUGCCAGAGAACUUAAAUACUUAAGGUGGAAAAACUAAAGAAAUCUCAACUUCCAAGUUGGCAACUAACUCGAAAUCCUCUGGUUCUGUUUUGCCCCAAUUUUUGAAUUUAACAGAUGGGAAAGUUGAUGAAGAUUCACUGGAUUUAAAAGAGUAGGGCUUGGGAAAGGAAAAUGACUGGGGGUUGGUCUGGCCCUCUGCGCUGACUUAGAUAAAAACUUGGGGAAUUUUUUUUAAAUGGUAAAGUUCGGAUAUAGUAGUGUGUGGUUCUCUCUUGGAAUAUUUUUCAGGUGAUUUAAUAAAACUUAAUACUACUAUAGGAGCUUCAGAACAAAGGAGGUGGCUUAAUGAUCCUGAAGGGAUUUCUUCUGGUGGUAGCUUUUGUAUUAUCAAGUAAGAUUCUUUUUUCGGCUGUAUAUAAGCAAGAUUGUUUGGUUUAUUCUUUUCUUUUUUAGCGUAGGAAAAGUUUGUUGUUAAGAUAUGCUUCAAAAUUAUUGUUAAUUGUAUUUUGAAUUUACAUCUAAGCCUUGUAAAUCAUAACUGAUAAGAGGGGGUGGGCUUUUGUUGAUGAGGGAGGGGAAACCUUUUUUUUUCUGUAGGCUUUUUU